This 65-nucleotide transfer RNA is filed under the name Aularches miliaris. RNAcentral describes it as "tRNA-Glu". The record is from RNAcentral. Lineage: Eukaryota; Metazoa; Arthropoda; Insecta; Orthoptera; Pyrgomorphidae.
AUCUAUAUAGUUUAAAUAAAACAUCAUAUUUUCAUUGUGAAAAAAAUAAAAUCUAUUUAUAGAUA